AAGGAUCAUUACCAACAAAGGCGAGAAAUCGACCUUUCUACCCGUGAGGUGGCCGCCACCCCCUUUUAAAAGGGAGGGGGCCUCCGAGCCGGUCAACCCUUUGUGAACCGAAAAAAGCCUUUUCGCUUCGGCAGCUGGGCCCCAACCUGCCUGUCAGCCUGCCGCUAGCACCAACCUUCAAAACCUGCUGUCAAAACAUUUGUCUGAUGACCAAAAUUUUCGAAUGAAAAAAAAAAAUCAAAACUUUCAACAACGGAUCUCUUGGUUCCC
RNAcentral lists this unclassified non-coding RNA (270 nucleotides) under uncultured fungus. RNAcentral describes it as "partial contains 18S rRNA, ITS1, 5.8S rRNA, ITS2 and 28S rRNA". The record is from RNAcentral. Lineage: Eukaryota; Fungi.